Long non-coding RNA from Sander lucioperca (pikeperch), 394 nucleotides. RefSeq lists it as uncharacterized. The transcript has 2 exons. The record is from RefSeq and is a predicted model, not a curated record. Lineage: Eukaryota; Metazoa; Chordata; Actinopteri; Perciformes; Percidae.
UCAGACAGUAAAACCUCAUCUUAUGUGUGUUCUUUCAGCUGCUACAGUAUCACCAUAUUGCACCACGGACAUCAAGAGUGAAAUCCUGCUGGGUGAGGAGUUGACAUCACCAUGAAUCCUGUCUGGUUUCUAAUAAACAAUAAACACCAUCUGAAGAAAACAAGCUGCAUUACUGCAAACAUUUAUCUUAACCAACAAUCUUCACACGGUCAACUUCCUCAGUCGUCAUUUUCUUCUUUUCAGGUGUGAAAGACGUCAGUGUCACAAAUGCCCCCUGUGACUGGACACAGUGUGAACACCAGACUCAACAUGAGAUUAAUACAGUUUGUUUGUUGCAGCGUUAGAUUGGAUCAAUGAACGCAGAAACAUUUAACUAUGAGAGAAAACUACGUUU